This 206-nucleotide long non-coding RNA is filed under the name Mytilus galloprovincialis (Mediterranean mussel). The record is from RNAcentral. Lineage: Eukaryota; Metazoa; Mollusca; Bivalvia; Mytilida; Mytilidae.
GUUUAUUUGAUCAUGUUUUUAUAACCUCACAGGUUCUCUCUAAACUUUUAUUGUUGUGCAAAUUCGGAAUUUACUGCUGCAUCAACAGAAAGCAAGCUAGUCCACUGUCAUCAUAUAAUAGGUUAUGAUAACUAAGUUUUAAAAUUCUACUCAGUGGAAUAGUUGAUUAAUCAUAAAGGCUACAUUUCCUAAAACCAAUCAAACAG